RNAcentral lists this ribosomal RNA (301 nucleotides) under uncultured bacterium. RNAcentral describes it as "partial 16S ribosomal RNA". It matches the Rfam family "Bacterial small subunit ribosomal RNA", at positions 509 to 808 of the family's 1533-position model. The record is from RNAcentral.
CAGUCGCCGCGGGAAUACGUAGGGUGCGAGCGUUGUUCGGAAUUACUGGGCGUAAAGGGUGCGUAGGCGGUUCGUUAAGUCUGUUGUGAAGGCCCCGGGCUCAACCUGGGAAUGGCAAUGGAUACUGGCGAGCUAGAGUGUGUCAGAGGGGGGUAGAAUUCCACGUGUAGCAGUGAAAUGCGUAGAGAUGUGGAGGAAUACCGAUGGCGAAGGCAGCCCCCCUGGGCCAAUACUGACGCUCAUGCACGAAAGCGUGGGGAGCAAACAGGAUUAGAGACCCCAGUAGUCCCUGUCUCUUAUU